AGUGAACGCUGGCGGUAGGCCUAACACAUGCAAGUCGAACGGCAGCACAGUAAUAGCUUGCUCUUACGGGUGGCGAGUGGCGGACGGGUGAGGAAUACAUCGGAAUCUACUUUUUCGUGGGGGAUAACGUAGGGAAACUUACGCUAAUACCGCAUACGACCUACGGGUGAAAGCAGGGGAUCUUCGGACCUUGCGCGAUUGAAUGAGCCGAUGUCGGAUUAGCUAGUUGGCGGGGUAAAGGCCCACCAAGGCGACGAUCCGUAGCUGGUCUGAGAGGAUGAUCAGCCACACUGGAACUGAGACACGGUCCAGACUCCUACGGGAGGCAGCAGUGGGGAAUAUUGGACAAAGGGCGCAAGCCUGAUCCAGCCAUACCGCGUGGGUGAAGAAGGCCUUCGGGUUGUAAAGCCCUUUUGUUGGGAAAGAAAAGCAGCAGGUUAAUACCCCGCUGUUCUGACGGUACCCAAAGAAUAAGCACCGGCUAACUUCGUG
Molecule: ribosomal RNA, 492 nt
Filed under: uncultured bacterium
Lineage: Bacteria
Description: partial 16S ribosomal RNA
Rfam family: Bacterial small subunit ribosomal RNA
Source: RNAcentral